Molecule: ribosomal RNA, 523 nt
Filed under: uncultured bacterium
Lineage: Bacteria
Description: bacterial SSU rRNA
Rfam family: Bacterial small subunit ribosomal RNA
Source: RNAcentral
UCCAGAGAACUUAGCAGAGAUGCUUUGGUGCCUUCGGGAACUCUGAGACAGGUGCUGGCAUGGCUGUCGUCAGCUCGUGUUGUGAAAUGUUGGGUUAAGUCCCGNAACGAGCGCAACCCUUAUCCUUUGUUGCCAGCGGUUCGGCCGGGAACUCAAAGGAGACUGCCGGUGAUAAACCGGAGGAAGGUGGGGAUGACGUCAAGUCAUCAUGGCCCUUACGGCCAGGGCUACACACGUGCUACAAUGGCGCAUACAAAGAGAAGCGACCUCGCGAGAGCAAGCGGACCUCAUAAAGUGCGUCGUAGUCCGGAUUGGAGUCUGCAACUCGACUCCAUGAAGUCGGAAUCGCUAGUAAUCGUAGAUCAGAAUGCUACGGUGAAUACGUUCCCGGGCCUUGUACACACCGCCCGUCACACCAUGGGAGUGGGUUGCAAAAGAAGUAGGUAGCUUAACCUUCGGGAGGGCGCUUACCACUUUGUGAUUCAUGACUGGGGUGAAGUCGUAACAAGGUAGGCGUAGCGAG